This 16760-nucleotide long non-coding RNA is filed under the name Capsicum annuum. RNAcentral describes it as "long non-coding RNA (CANN_LNC003473)". Lineage: Eukaryota; Viridiplantae; Streptophyta; Magnoliopsida; Solanales; Solanaceae. The record is from RNAcentral.
GGUUAAUUAAGGAUGGAACUGAUUAUUUUUUGACAUAGAAUAAAUAUAAGAAAAUUGUUAAGUUAAUGAUCUAAUUGAUACUUUUUUUGUAAAAUGUAAAAAUUUAUUACAUAGUGUCACACUCCCUUUUUCAUACUCCAAAAAGAUUCGUUUUAAGUUCCAAAGAGUUUUUAAUGUUAAAGUGACAAAAUGAAGAAUUGUUUCGAAAAGGACCUUUUAUAUUCAAAACUCACAGUCGCCACUUGGCAUAAAUCCGGUGUACGAAGUCACCUUUUGGAAAAUCCUUUUUUAAAACGGUUUGACUCUUUUAAAACUGGUUUGCGAACAGAGAUUCUGGCUAAGGAACUCUGUUGACCGAGGGGAAGGUUUUAGGCACCCUUCGAUCCCGUGGUUCGACCACGGUCGCUUGGUAGAGAGUAUCGGCUAAUUUUAAACAAUACGAAUGUAUAAACCACACAAACAAACAUCAAACAAAUCAAACAAAAUUCAAAAUCCAAAAUAAUGUCCAGUCCGAGUUAUACAAUCCCGAAAAAUAGAAAAGUACGAAAAAAAAUAUAAAUCCUAUUCUAAACUACUCCUAGACUAAGCUCCACUGCCUCACCCGAUGCCUCGGGCCUUCAUUGUGCGCCGUCUUCUAGUACAACUUUCUCGGGGCAUUCCCCAGAUAAAAUGAUACAGAUACUUCGGGGCAUUCCCCGGCCAAAUGAGUACAAUUGAAUCGAAUACGAUAAAACAAAACUAUCUCAACACAGAUCUCAAACAUUCAAUCAACCCACAAUCUCUAGAUUUGCCUACCCGACCUACGUCUUGCCUAUUCUAAUCGGAGUAUCUUGAUACUACCAAAUUCAAUUAACGUUCAAUUCAAGCCAAACGACUAAUGAAUCAAACUAAUCAAAAGUCACCAAUUAUAUCAAGUUUUCAAUUCCCGCCCUACUUAUUCCAAAUGACUUCAAAUAUUUCAAUUACUUCAUUCAUGUGAAUCAAUUAAUCAAUAUCAACACAGUAAUUACAAUUGCUCAAACACAAUAUCGAAACAUAUCCCCACAUCACAAUCAUCAACCAAACACAAUACUCAACUCCAACACAUCAAAUAUAGUAAAUAUUAAAUAAAAGAGGAGGAAUAAAAUUGGACCUUUAGUGUUUAUUUGACGAUUUACAAAGAGAAAUAAGAGUCGCUCCUAUAACCUCGAAGAACACCAAUAGAACCUCUACUCUUCAAAUCACACGAAUGACAUUUCCAGAAUAACGAUGACCCCAAUUUCUAUUGGAACAGAACAAAUUCCCAAACAGAGUUGAUGAACAACAAAAUCGGGAUUACGAAGUCUAGCCCGAACCAACGAUACCCACCAAGAGCAAUGAAUUCCCAAAACCCAUUUCCGGCGACGGAACACAAAACUCAGAAGAACCCCAGAACCUCGAUACGCAACAGAACCAAAAGAAUAAGAUAACUUGAGCUAUGGUUAGCUCAAAUGAACAAGAACGGAUAAGAACCACUCGAAUUCCGGCGCUCUUAGCCUUUUUCGGUGGAAUCUUGACUAAAACCCCAAGAAAACUAAGAAAAACUUUGUGGUAUUACUGGACUAGGACGGGAUUCGAACUCUUAGUACCUGAAUAUGACUGAAAUAAUAAUUGAUUCCAGCGAAGGAUUCGCCGGAAAAGGCUUAGAUCUAGCCUAUUAUCGUCGGAACAGUGACCCAAACGAAAAACGGUGCUACUUUCUCGAUCUCCUGAUUUUUCUUUUUGUUUUUCCUUUCUCCCUCGAUUUUUCUUUAAUUGCGAUCUCUCUCUCAUCUCCCUCCUCUAUAUCUAUCAGUGUGUUUCUGUGUAGGGGUUUUGGAGAAGAAGGUUUGUGUGUUUUGGUGAGAGUAAAAAAUGGAAUGUGUUGGUUUCCUUUGAAGAAGAAAGCCAAGAAGAAAAAAUGUUUCUCCCCUCCCCCCACUUUCUUGUUUCCUCUCUGUAUAUAUAUUAUGCCCAAAAGUGGAAAGAAAUAUGAUGAAGAGGGGUCCUGCGGGUAGGGGGUGGGGUAUGAGUAUAUUGAGCUUUCUAGAAGGUUCUUUUUUUGUUGUAUGUGUAUUAUUAAAGCCAAAAUUUAGUGGGCCCCAUUUGUUUGUUGAUAAAUUGAAAUGUAGUGUAGAUGACUAUGAAAUGGAGAAAAAAAUGGGGGGAUCACAUGAGGUGUUCAAAUGAAAAUGGAGUGAAUUCUUAUUUUACUAUGGGGCCUACCUAUUUUUGUUUCACUCCCUUUUUGUUCCCUUUUUCUGUUAGUGAUAAUUAAAUGUGAAGGGAAGGGGUGGCGUAUAGGGUAGGUGGGGUAGUAGGUGAGGUGUAAAGGGGGUUAGGAUAGGAUAAAAUUUGUUAGGGAGUUAUUAUUUGUCUUUUAAUGGGGGUAUAAUCACAUGGUGAGGGUACAUGGUAGGAUAAAAUAAAAAUGAGUAAAAGUGAAUAAAAUUAAACUUUAGGAGGACAAAAUUAUGUGUCUACAUCAUUCCCCUUUUGGAUGUAAACACAUGGUGUUUUCAUACAAAGCAGUAGACAACGAGACAGAAUUUUGCCCUAACCUUUAUUCAAAAGCACGGAGCAAGAGAAAGGAGGAAAAACAGGUCUUAACUUAGGACAUCCUACCUACCCAAGUUAUGAGAGAAUCGAGUGACAAGUAUCUCAAAAGAUUGGAAGGAGAUGGACUGUACCGAGUUGUAGAGUCGAGUGAGGUUCUAUUGGUUCCGGUCCGCGGCUCUGUCAUUACAUCAAAAUAAAAAUUGCAAGUCAAAACAUAAAUGAAAUUACAAAAUCCUAUCUAUACAGCUUCUGUUGGCUCUUGAAUCAACUUUUAUCACCCUAUUCUUCAGGCGGGCUCCUGACUUGCAAUUUCUUUCAACUUGUUGCUUGACUUUCAAUUGCUUUGCUUUGUUGCUUGACUUUUCAGUUAUUUGCCCUGUGCUUCGGGCGGGCUUCUGACUUGCAAUUUCAUCACUUUGUUGCUUGACUUUUCAUUUCUUCACUCUAUUCUACAGACGGGCUCCUGACUUGCUAUUUCAUCACUUUGUUGCUUGACUUUUCAUUUCUUCACUCUGUUCUCCAGGCGGGAUCCUGACUUGCUAUUUCAUCAUCUUGUUCUUCAGGCGGGCUCCUGAAACCAGAAUUAAAACUAGAACAAACAUUAUCCCAAACAAAAAUUAUAGUAAAGUAGCAUUUCAUUUUUGAAAGCGUGGUCCCAUUUUUCAGGAGGAUCCUGAAUAGAAGGUAAAGUCUCAUUUUUCAGAAGGGUCCUGAACAGAAAGUAAAAUCCCAUUUUUUAGGAGGCUCCUGAACAGAAAGUAAAAUCUCAUUUUUCAGGAGGCUCCUGAACAGAAAGUAAAAUCUUAUUUUUCAAGAGGGUCCUGAACAGAAAGUAAAAUCUCAUUUUUUAGGAGGGUCCAGAACAGAAAGUAAAGUCCUAUUUUUUAGGAGGGUCCUGAACAGAAAGUAAAGUCCCAUUUUUUAGGAGGGUCCUGAACAUAAAGUAAAAUCCCACGGAUGUGCAUUUCCAAUGGUAGCUGAGUUAAGUGAAGUGAAUUUGCCCCUGUUUCAUCAAAGACAAUUUUGUUAGUUAAAAAACUUAGUGAUGGUUUGCAGCAUUUGGCUUUCCAGACAUCUGCUCCAGCACUUGUUCCUUUCAUCUUUGUUUCAUAUUGUUGACAUUUUCCCCUGUCUUGCCGCUUCAUCAACCUGGAUCCAGAUCGAGGGAAAUGAGUUCUGACUCGGACAAUGAAUUUUCAUUUUACCAUGUCUCUGAGAUGCACCCUUUUAAAAAUCUGAAUACUCUUACGAAUUCGGUAGCCUGUCGGUUGAUAGACUUCCUUUGCUUUGUGUUGAAUUACGAUCAAAUUUCUUUCAUAUGCUAGUCCUUGGCUUUUCUCAUACAAUUGGAAAGACUGAUAGCAAGUUUUGAAAUCUUUUCUCGCUUGUUUUGACACAGACUUGACUUAAAAUGUAAAGAAAUGAUGAUGACUUUUAUUUUGAUAAAUGACAUAAAAAAAACAAAAUAUGAAUAGGUAAAUGGAAGAAAAGGGCAACGUCCCUUAUUCAAAAUAAAACUUAUCUGAAUACGGCAACCAACUCUAAUGAGUAUGACAUGCAUUUUGGAUUAAGCUGCUUGAUCUUCCUAUCCAAACUUCCCAUUUGUUGUUGAGUUCAUGCCUUUGCCGCUGAGCCGCUUCUUCAAAUUCAUUGGACCCAUAUAUCUCAUUCAAUUGAUGACAUCUUAAAAGACUUUCGCCAACAAAUCUCUUUCUUUUCACUUUUCACUUUUCACUUUUCUUUGAACUCGCCAUCGCCUUACGGUGCCCGUGAGGGUUUUCACCAAUAAGACUCUCUCAUUUUUAUUUCUCUCCACUCACCAUCGCCAUAUGGUGCCCGUGAGGGUUUUCACCAAUAAGACUCUCUUAUUUUCAUUUCUCUCAACUCACCAUCGCCUUAUGAUACCCGCGAGAGUUUUCACCAAUAAGACUCUCUCUUUUUCAUUUCUCUAAACUCACCAUCACUUUAUGGUGCCCACAAGGUUUUUCACCAAUAAGACUCUCUCAUUUUUGUAUUUCUUUCCUGAUUUCUUAUGCUGAGGAAGACGAGUAGUACCCAACAAUGUAUCAUCAUAUCCAUUGCAUGCCUAGCCUUAACAUUAUCAAGAAUUGAUCUAAAGGACUUUCUUUGGUUGUAACUUGGCUUUUGGAUAAUGUUAGAAAGGGGAUGACAAAAGGCUUAAACGACACUUGAAAUGAGGGAGGGCUUACAACUUUUGGAAUCGACUCAAACAAUGCAUUAACUCAUGCCCCAGUUUUUUGACUGGGUGACUCUAAAAUCUUCAUUUGGUUGGACCGAGCCCGAAAUAGGGCAGCCUACGUAUCUCACUUUUGAGAGAGGAGAAUCAGGUCGCACGUAGUUCCAUCAGCUUGUUCUUUGUUUUGAUUUAAUUUAUUUCUUUUAUUUUCAAACUUUUUCUUUUAUUCUUAUUUUCUUGACAUUUAUAUUUGACUCUAUUUUGAUUCCAAAAGAGGGAUAUGAAAGAAAAAUAAAACGAAGCUCAAACGGGUAAACAAAGGAUGACACAAUAUUUGGAUAGAAUAAGAAAAUGCCUGCAUCAUAUCAAUCUUCAAAAAUGCAAAUACUAAACAUGCAAUAAAAUCAACGGAGGAUAAAAUAUCAUACAUAAUAUCUUUUGACCGCAUCAGCAUGGAUAGCCAUUUCUGCCAUUUUGCCUUCAAUAUCUGUCAAAUAUAAGGCUCCAUUGGGCAACACUUUCUUUACAAUGAAGGGACCUUGCUAGUUUGGGGAGAACUUGCCUUUCGCUUCAACCUGAUGGGAAGGAUACACUUUAAUACCAUCUGACCAACAUCAAAAUGCCUGGGUCGUACCCUUUUGUUAUAUGCUCGAGCCAUUUUCUUCUGAUACAAUUGGCCAUGACAUACCGACGUUAGCCUUUUUUCCUCAAUCAAACUCAAUUGUUCCAGUCGGGUUUUGACCCACUCGUCAUCAUCAAUCGCUGCCUCCAUAAUGACUCGAAGAGAGGGAAUUUCAACUUCUGCAGGAAUGACUGCUUCUGUCCCAUACACUAAUAAAUAUGGAGUUGCCCCUGUUGAAGUGCGAACAGUAGUGCGAUAACCUAGCAAUGCAAACGGCAACUUCUCAUGCCAUUGUCUAGACCCUUGUACUAUUUUCCGCAGUAUCUUCUUGAUAUUCUUAUUGGCGGCUUCCACAGUACCAUUGGCCUACGGACGAUAUGAAGUAGAAUUUUGAUAUGCGAUGUUAAACUGUCGGCACACUUCUUGCAUCAAAUGACUAUUGAGAUUGGCAGCAUUGUCCGUAAUAAUCAUCUUUCGAAUUCCAAACCUACAAAUGAUGUUGGCAUGAACAAAAUCUACCACCGCUUUCUUUGUUACUGAAUUGAAAGUUAUUGCUUCUACCCACUUUAUAAAGUAAUCAAUGGCCACCAAAAUGAAUCUAUGACCAUUUGACGCUUUCGGUUCAAUCGGUCUAAUCACGUCCAUCCCUCAAGCUACAAACGGCCAUGGAGCAGCCAUUGCGUGCAACUCAGUAGGAGAAGAAUGUAUCAGAUCACCGUGUACUUGACAUUGAUGACACUUUUGAACAAAUCAAAUAGAAUCUCUCUCCAUAGUAAGCCAAUAAUAACCUGCUCGAAGAAUCUUCUUUGACAAGACAUAAUCAUUCAUAUGCGGCCCGCAUACUACAGAUUGUAUUUCAACCAUGAUCGUCGAGGCUUCUCUUGCAUCUACACACCUCAAAAGUCCCAGAGCUAGGGUUCUCUUGUAUAAGAUUCCCCCACUUAAGAAAAAUCCGCUAGCCAAACGCCUAAUAGUCCUCUUUUGACCACUGGUGUCAUGUGACGAGUAGUCUCCUGAUUGAAUGUAUCGCUUGAUAUAAAAAAACCAAGGUUCGCCAUUGAGCUCUUCUUUAAUUGCAUUAUAAUAAGCGUGUUGAUCACAACUCUGGAUAUGUACUAGAUCGAUGUAGGCUUUAUCACGAUGUUGGAGUAUUGAAGAUAGAGUGGCUAAAGUAUCAGCAAUCUCAUUAUAAAUCCUCAGAAUAUGCCUAAAUUUCACUGAUACAAACCGUCGACAUAACUUCUACAAGCAUUGUCGAUACGGUAUGAGCUUCAAAUCUCGCAUCUACCAAUCGCGUUGGAUUUGAUGGACGAGCAAAUCUGAAUCCCCCAACACUAAUAGCUCCUGGACUCCCAUAUUGAUAGCUAACUUCAAACCAAGAAUGCAAGCUUCGUAUUCUGCCAUAUUAUUGGUACAAUAAAAUCAAAGUUGUGCUGUUACCGGGAAAUGUUACCCCGCUUCAGAGAUAAGAACUGCACCUACUCCUACUCCUUUCAUGUUGACAGCUCCAUCGAAGAACAACUUCCAACCUGGAUCCGCAUCUAUAACGACUUCAUCGACACACAACACUUCUUCAUCAGGAAAAUAUGUCUUUAAUGGCUCGUACUCUUUAUCGAUAGGAUUCUCAGCAAGAUGAUCUGCCAAGGCUUGGGCUUUCGUGGCUGUUCGAGUCACAUAUACAAUGUCGAACUCGGUAAGCAAUAUUUGCCACUUUGCCGAUCGACCUGUUGGCAUAGGUUUCUGAAAAAUAUACUUCAAAAGUUCCAUAUGGGAGAUGAGAUAAGUAAUGUAGGAAGAGAGAUAAUUCUUCAACUUCUCCGCUACCCAAGUUAGGGCACAACACGUCCUUUCAAGAAGAGUAUACCCGGCCUCAUAUGUGGUGAACUUCUUGCUAAGAUAAUAAAUAGCCUGCUCUUUCUUGCCUGUGACAUCAUGUUGACCCAGUACACAACCAAACGAAUUGUCCAUGACUGAUAAAUAUAAGAUCAAAGGCCUACCAGGCUCCGGUGGUACCAGCAUGGGCGGAUUUGACAAAUAUCUUUUGAUUUUGUCGAACGCUUCCUGGCAUUCUUCAGUCCAUUCUACCGCAACACUCUUUUUCAGCAACUUGAAUAUGGGAUCACAAGUGGUUGUGAGUUGAGCAAUAAACCUGCUGAUGUAGUUCAGUCUACCAAGCAAACUCAUUACCUCCGUCCUAUUCUUGGGCAGGGGCAAAUCCUGAAUGGCUUUGAUUUUUGAGGGAUCUAAUUCAAUUCCCCAACGGCUGACUACAAACCCCAACAGCUUUCCAGACGGAACUCCAAAUACAUAUUUUGUCGGUUUGAGCUUGAGAUUAUACCUACGAAGCCUUUCAAAGAACUUUCUUAAAUAUUUAACAUGGUCAGCCUGACUUUUUUACUUAAUAAUCACAUCAUCCACGUAGACCUCAAUCUCCUUAUGCAUCAUAUCAUGAAACAUAGUGGUCAUGGCUCUCAUGUAUGUUGCUUCAACAUUCUUCAAACCGAACGUCAUCACUCAAUAACAAUAGGUCCCCCAUGGUAUGAUAAAAGAUGUCUUCUCCACGUCUUCAUCAUCCAUAAUGAUUUGGUAAUAUCCGGCAUAGCAAUCCACAAAAGAGGCAACCUCAUGUUUAGCGCAGUUGUCCAGCAAAAUAUGGAUGUUGGGCAGCGAAAAAUCAUCUUUCGAACUUGCUCUGUUCAAAUCACGGUAAUCAACACAUACUUGAAUUUUGCCAUCUUUCCUUGGGACAGGAACAAUAUUUGAUAACCACGUGGGAUAGCGAGCCACUCGAAUUACUUUGGCUUCAAGUUGUUUCAUGAUUUCCUCUUUGAUUUUAAUACUUACAUCAGUUUCAAACUUCCAUAACUUAUGUUUGAUAGGAGGAAAUGUGGGAUCAGUUUGUAAUUUAUGAGCCACUAAUUCAGUGCUUAAACCAGGCAUAUCAUGAUAAGACCAUGCAAAAACAUCCUUAUAAUCAAUUAAUGCUUGAAUCAUUCCAUCUUUUAGCUUUGGCAAAUCAUGUACACUAAUUUUAGUUUCCCUAACAUAUUCUUGAUUCCCUAGAUUUAUUGGCUCAGUCUCAUUCAAAUUAGGAUUCGGUUUGUCUUCAAACUGUUCCAACUCUUUGCUUAUUUCUUCUAGUACUUCUUCUUCAUCAUAUUCCCUAUCCUGUUUCAUUACAUCUUAAUUAGUUUGGAUUUUAAGAUCAGGCUGAAAAUUUUGCAUGCAUGUCAUGUCAUUAGAAUCAGCAUAAAGAGAAUUGUAUAAAAAAAGAAACAAAUAAAAUAUAUUAGACACGAAACAAAAGGGAUAUUGCAUUUCAUUAAAAGAAAAGAUAGAAGGGUUUAAACAUAGAUGCUAACAUAACAUAGGCAAAGGCCCCGACUAUGCCCCGUACCUUCAACAGGUAAUUCAUCGUCAGAGAAGCUGAUCCGAUUGACCUCAAAGAUUUUUCUGACCAUCUUCUCAAGCUGAUUUACUGUAAUCUCCCUAGGAACAUAUGCUUCAUUUAAUACCUUCAGUAUAAUAUCACGAUGUUCCUUGGAACGCAACAACAAAGAUAAGAGGGAAAUUUGAGCAGGGGUUUUAUUCAACUCGUCUAUUAUUUGAUACUCUGGCAAUUUCAUCUUUUUCAAAAAUUCUUUGGCAUCUUCUUCGGUGACAGGCUUUUUAAUAGAUGAAGGUCCACUCACAAUUGGCUUGGACUUUCUUAAACUUUCAGGCACAAAGCAUCUUCCUGAUCGAGUCAAACCCCCUACCUCAUCUAUAUCUUCCACUACUUCCUUCCCGUGAUAGGUCAUCACUGUCAAGAUGGGCUUACUCGGUGCUCCUAUCACCGUCAACUUAGGUUUAUACUGACUUAAAUCAACAUACCUUAUGGCACCUUGUACUGUGAUCAGUGGUUUCUUUGCGCUUUCUGGGGCUUUAUCUUCUCUCAUUCCUUUCUGGUUCAAUGACAUUGCUUUCAAAGACUCUGAUACAUUCGUCGAUUUCUCCUCACUGGUUUGUCUCUUGACAAUAAGCUUAUAAUACCUUGAUGAUUCUUUCCCAUCAUAUAUCAAUUCUAACAUAUUUGUUUCAACGAGGGUUGGCAGCGAAUUCUAGUUAAUAUUCGGAACCUCCGGGGCCUGGACCAGCAUUUGAUUUGUGUCAAUUAAAUCUUGGAUAGCUCUCUUUAAAUGCCAGCAUUUCUAGAUAUCGUGGCCUGGCAUGUCAGAACAGUAUGCAUACCUCAAAUAAUAAUCGUGAUUCCUCGGAGGUGGAUUUGUAAGCCUUCUUUGAAUUGGGCUUAAGACCUUCAUCUUUCUCAACCUAUCAAAUAAGCUAGCAUAUGACUCCCCAAGAGGUGUGAACUAAUUUUUGACCGCCUUAUCUUUCUUGUACUCGGGCCUGGGUUGGAAACCGGGUCUGGAGUGGUUUUGGUAAUUUACUGGAGCUGAUAGGUAAUUUUAUGGAGCUUGCGUGCGCCAUUGCGGGUAAGAAGGGGUUUAGGCAUAUGGCUGCGCGUUAUAUACUGGGUACGAGGGUGGUGGAAUGGAAUAUAAAGGGUUUUGUAUAGGGUAGUAAUAGUGGGGAGGAAUAUAUAGAGCUUGGGCGUAGACUUGGGCUUGGACUUGGGCUUGGGGAUAGGGGCGAGGCCAUUUUUUGGGAUAGGAAUGGGUUUCAGCUACGACAGUCUCCACGUCCUCUUUCUUCUUUUUACCUCCGAAUGCACCAGAUCCACCUUGAAUUGCUUGUGUGGUGGCUUUCAAUGCGGCAAAACUCACUAUUCGGCCGGUCUUGAUUCCGUCCUCUAUCAUCUCCCCCAUUUUGAGGACUUCAAUAAAAGACUUUCUCAUUGCCGGAAGUAAAUGUUGAAAAUAGGUCUCAUCCUGUGCCUGAAUGUAAAUCUCUACCAACUUACUUUCCUUCAUUGGAGGCUUUACCCUGGCAGCCUGUUCACGCCACCUUAUCUCGUAUUCCCUAAAACCUUUAGUGCUUUUAUUCUUCAUGUUGACCAAGGAUUUUUUGUCCAAAAUCAGGUUGACGUUAUACUGAAAAAGUUGCACAAACUUAGAAGCUAAGUCAUCCCAGUUGUUUCACUUGUCGAUAUCUUGAUUGACAAACUAUUCUGAAGCCAGAUCGGAAAGACUCUCGCCAAAGAAAGCCAUGAGCAGCUCUUCUCUUUCUCCUACAACCCUCAAUUGGUUGCAAUAACGUCUCAAGUGUGCCACGGGAUCACCGUGCCCAAUAUACUUCUCAAACUUGGGCAUUUUAAAACCGAUGGGAAGGUUGACGUCUGGGAACAUGCAAAGAUCUUUAUAGGAAACACUCUUAUAACCUCCGAUUCCCUGCAAAUUCCUCAUGGCCUGUUCUAAACUUUUCAACUUUCGCUCUAUGACUUCUUGUUCCUCUGUUGUGAUACGUUUCUCUGUAUCAAAUGGAAAUACAAGUGGCUGAGUGUACCCAUACGGUUUAUUCAUUCUCAAAGUAGGCUCUGGGGAAUAAUACUGACUAUCUGGAACCUUCAAUACUGGCUCACUGGCAGACCGAGGAAACCCCAUUGUCGGACGCAUAACAUAUGUGGGAGCUUCAGGUGGUGGCGGAGCCACGAACACCGUCGUGAUCGGUGGCGCCGGCUGAGCAGCGGGUCUUAGUUAGGGAGCUGCCAAGGGCACACUAGAGUGCCAGGAUAAUAAUGUCGCAGAGUGAAUCCUGACGUGUGUUCAGGUGACUCAGUGGGAGCAGAGAAUUGGGCCUGAGAGAGCGGUGGGCAAUUAGAGAUACUCCCAAGACCUUUAGGGAGCGGAGGAGGAGGCAUGCCACUAGCCCAUGCUCGGUGCAAAUCUAUCAGUUAUUGCCUGAGCCUUACUACCUUAUCAUUGCGUUCUGAGCUUUCUUCCCUAGGAUCCUGAUCUGGGUCAAUGAGAGAAUUUUCAAUCUCCCUGCUAGCCAUGGUGGGCUUUGAUUUUAUCUAGUGAAGUACGGGUGACUAGCCAGAGUGCUACAAACCUACCACUGUUAUCUGAAAGGACAUGCUCACCAAAGACAACAUCCGUUAGGAUUAGGUCACACAACAAGCAUGGGAAUCACAUUGGUAAAAUUGCCCUAGAUUCAUGUUCAUUUCUACCAACCUUUGAGGGUAUCGAGGUCAUUUUAACAUCAUCCCAAUUUUCAUCUACACUUCCUCUAAACACACUUUUUUUCGCCCUCAUUUCCAUCUCUCUUCUUUUUUUCAUAUCAGUCUCUGUUAUUUUCCUUUCUUGUCUUAUCAUCCUUUCUUUCUUUUCUUCUCUCGCUAUCUGCCUUCAUUUUAUCAUUCUUUAUGGCUUUUGUUUUUCUUUAAAAGAGGAAAAAUAAUGAAAAACAAUGAAACAAAAUGAUUAGAUCGAACCCAAAAGUAGGUUGCCUACGUAUCAUGUUGUACAUGAAUCGGAUCUUGCGUAGUUCGGGAUGCAUAUGCAUAAACAUCACACAAUUGAAGGUUUUUUUUAUACGAAAAAUGAAAACAAAUAAACAAAAGAAAGACGUAACAUCAUAACAUUUGGAUGAAAGAAACAACAAAAACAUACAACGAAUUUAGGACCACUUUAAAACUAAACAACAAAUACAAAACAACAUUCUAAACCCCUAACGACAUACGUGCAAUUACUAAUAAAGACCCAAAUAUCAAAAACAACUUUACUCUGACUUAAAAUAGAAACCACCCUACAGUGACAGAAACAUAAAAGACUCAAAACUACAUAAAGAUAAAUUCUCUUUCAAACUGGUGCUCUGUGUGAUGUCCCCGGCUGAGAUGAACCCGUCUGUGAAGUCCCCUUUUUUUCACUCAGACUUUGCAACAUAUCCUGCAACGACGUUUUGAUACCUGGGAACAAACUUCUCACCCGUAUCCCCGCCUCUUGGAGAUUACACCCGCAAAGGUUUUUCUGACACCCAUCCACAAUUAUGAUCAAACGUGACAACUGAACUCUCAAAAACUCCACCUUGGCACCCGGAUCUUCCUGCUCAUCAUCCUCUACCAUGAUUGCUUCCUGUAUUAAGGGUCUACUAAUGCCACGGGGCAGAGAUUGUAGCCAGAUUUCACAGUUUUGAGUGCAUCCUGGAUUUUUCUCGAGAGUACCGACACCUAGCUUUAUCGCGUUAUUCCAGAAUUGCUUAUAUUUGCUUUCCCCCACGGCUUGGUUUUUAAAGUACUAUACAUUCUUUAGAAGGUCCAUUAUUGGGGGACGUCUUGCAUCCUACCCAACUGACGCAUCACCUUUCUUGGAUUGUAAGGCCUAGUGCAGUUAAGUCCUAUCAAAACUAGAAAGAUUUGCAUUUGAGGUCCAAUCAAGAUUUUCUUAGGACGAAACCACAUAUAGCACCAAAGAAUGUUGUUCGGAGUUCUUGAUUCGAGAAAUUCGAUCCAGGAAUUGACUCUCAUAGGAAAAGAAAAUUUGUCAAAACGCAUUCUCUCUUACAUGGCUUGCACUCGAUCAUUCAGACAACGGUCAAUCACAUCUGUUUUAAUCAAAGAAGGCGUAUGCAAGUGCUCCAUCAUCCGCAACUGCAAUAUCAGAUUACUCCCCUCAAAAAAUCGUACCCCUCAUUUUACUUCAGUUAAAGCCUUAUAUAUUUCUGUUAAGAUCAUUGGUACAAUGGUGACCCCAUUUUUUUUCUCGAAUAAAGCUAUCACCACUGAUUGUAGACGAGUAUUGAUACACCUCUCAUCUAACGGGAACACUAAGAUGCCCAACAAAGCUAGACAGCAAACCUCAAGACGACGUUGUUCCCAAAUUUUUUUGGUAGUACAGAAUUCAUCCCAAAAGAAGUCGAAACCCUCUAAGGACCCAAAUCUAGCAAAGAAAUAGUCCAAGGAAAUCCAAAAUUGUUUGAGACAUCCCAGAUGCUUGUUAUAUUUUAAUCCACAGAGUCGAAGGAAUUUCUUACGAGUAUGAUUGCGGGCUAAAAUCAUCUGCUGACCCAUAUAAGUCAACCAAAACAAACGAGACACUUCUGCCAGGGUAGGAGUCAAUUCACAACUUCCGAACCUAAAUACCAAAUUAUUUGGAUCCCAAAAAUUCAACGCAGCUUCUAUUAGAUCCGGAUGAGGUGUGAGAUCCAUGAGUGCUACAAGAUUGCCUAACACUUUCCUCACUUCAUGAUUUUCAGAGUAAUUGAACGUUCCCCACCACUUGAUCAACUUUUUGGGUACCUUGACAACCAUAAGAACUCUAGACUUUGUGGACAGAUCCAUCCUGUAGUAACAGAUAAGAAAUUAUCUCAAAAAAUUGCUAAGAGCAAAAGGUUCCCAACCAAUGGGAAUUUGAUGCGGACAUACGUCGAUGGGACAGACCGCUUCAUGACUCCAAAUCUCCGAACAAUAACACUGAAUAAAAUCAGCCUACUUGGAUAACAACUCUAGGUUACGGGGUAAAAGACCUAGCCUAAGACUAAGACGAUGGCCAAAAUAAAGAUUGCCGGACCCACCGAGGGUUGCCUACGUAUCCCGCCCCGAGAGAGGGGAAUCAGGUAUGCAUAGUUCAUCCAAAUUGGACAAAUAAAGAUUAACUAAUAGACUGACCCUAACUUAAGAGACACAACCAAAGACCAAAAAAAAAAGGGCAGCCCGAUGCACUAAAGCUACCGCUAUGCGCGGUGUCUGGGGAAGGGGCCCACCACAAGGGCGUAUCGUACGAAGCCUUACCUUGCAUUUCUGCAAGAGGCUAUUUCCAAGGCUUGAACCCAUGACCUCCUGGUCACAUGGCAGCAACUUUACCAGCUACUCCAAGGCUCCCCUUCAAAAACCGAUGAAUUAAAAAAAAUUGGGUUUUUAAUUUGACACCAACGACUAUGAAAGAAAAAUCUUUUUUGAAAUUUUCGAAUUAUGAAUACGUGGUAAAGGAAUAAAAGGAUUUUUUUUUUUUUGCAUUUUCCUUUAUAAAACCUCCUAUUGUAAAAAAAAUCUUUUCUUUUUGAAAUUUUUGAAUUGUGAAAAACAAAAGCCAUAAAGAACUCUAAAAACUACAAAUCUCUUUUUUGGACUUUUUUUUUUCACACACUUUACUUCUAACACAUGCAUUACCCCACAUCAGUCUGUCAAAUGACCACAUUACCCUCAAAGAUGCAACAUUUAGCACGUAGGAAUGCUUUAGAGGUAAGUCUCCUACAAAGGACCAAAUGGGUCCCGCUAGGUCUUAAUAUGAUGCACAUAAGCAUGAUCUAAAGGCUGACCUACGCUGACGUUCACUAACAAGGCCGUUCAGGGGAGCAUAUAAUCGAUAAUGGCUGCUUAGCUUUCCACCUACUCCAUACAUCCAACGGCUCCCCCCUAAAAUAAAGGUGACUCAACUAGAGUUCGUACACACGACGUGUGCUCCGAGACUUAUUGCGGAAAGAAUGACUCAGGUUAUGCACAUGAUGUCAGAUAUAAAAGCGGUACACAUAGGAUAAAUACUGUAAACAAAGAGCACGAAAACACACAAAAAUGAAAACACAAACAAAAAUCGCAAACAAUGCUUAUACACUCGUAAUGCCAAACAAAGCCGAUACGACUCCAAAAAAAGCUUGGAUUCUGAAAUUGUCCCCAGCAGAGUCACCAGAGCUGUCACACCCCCUUUUUCAUACUCCAAAAAGAUUCGUUUUAAGUUCAAAAAGGUUUUAUUGUUAAAGUGAAAAAAUGAAAAAAAAAAUCGAAAAGGACCUUUUAUAUUCAAAACUUAGAGUUGCCACUUGGCAUAAAUACGGUGUGCCAAGUCACCUUUUGGAAAAUCCUUUUGAAAAUGGUUUGACUCUUUUAAAACUGAUUUGCGAACAGAGAUUCUGGCUAAGGAACUCUGUUGACCGAGGGGAAGGUGUUAGGAACCCUUCGAUCCCGUGGUUCGACCACGGUCGCUUGGUAGAGAGUAUCAGCUAAUUUUAAACACUACGAAUGUAUAAACCACACAAACAAACAUCAAAUAAAUCAAACAAAAUUUAAAAUCCAAAAUAAUGUCCAGUCCGAGUUAUACAGUCCCAAAAAAUAGAAAAUUACAAAAAAAAUAUAAAUCCUAUUCUAAACUACUCCUAGACUAAGCUCCACUGGCUCACCCAUUGUCUCGGGCCUUCAUUAAGCGCCGUCUUCUAGUACAACUUUCUCGGGGCAUUCCCCAGAUAAAAUGAUACAGAUACUUCGAGACAUUCCCCGGCCAAAUGAGUAUAAUUGAGUCGAAUACGAUAAUAUAAAACUAUCUCAACACAGAUCUCAAACAUUCAAUCAACUCACAAUCUCUAGAUUUGCCUACCCGACCUAUGUCUUGCCUAUUCUAAUCGGCGUAUCUUGAUACUACCAAAUUCAAUUAACGUUCAUUUCAAGUCAAACGACUAAUGAAUCAAACUAAUCAAAAGUCACCAAUUAUAUCAAGUUUUCAAUUCCCGCCCCACUUAUUCCAAGUGACUUCAAAUCUUUCAAUUACUUCAUUCAUGUGAAUCAAUUAAUCAAUAUCAACCACAGUAAUUACGGUUGCUCAAACACAAUAUCGAAACAUAUCACCAUAUCACAAUCAUCAACCAAACACAAUAUUCAACUCCAACACAUCAAAUAUAGUAAACAUUAAAUAAAAGAGGGGGAAUAGAAUUGGACCUUUAGUGUAUAUUUGACGAUUUACGAAGAGAAAUAAGAGUCGCUCCGAUAACCUCAAAGAACACCAGUAAAACCUCUACUCUCCAAAUCACACGAAUGACAUUCCCAGAAUAACGAUGACCCCAAUUUCAAUUGGAACAGAACAAAUUCCCGAACAGACUUGAUGAACAACAAAAUCGGGAUUACGAAGUCUAGCCCACACCAAUGAUACCCACCAGGAGCAAUGAAUUCCUAAAACCUGUUUUUGGCGACGGAACAUAAAACUCAGAAGAACCCCAGAACCUCGAUACGCGACAGAACCAAAAGAAUAAGAUAACUUGAGCUACGGUUUGCUCAAAUGAACAAGAACGGACAAAAACCACUCGGAUUCAGGCGCUCUUAACCUUUUCCGGUGGAAUCUCGACUAAAACUCCAAGAAAACUAAGAAAAACUUUGUGGGAUUACGGGACUAGGACGGGAUUUGAACUCUUAGUACCUUAAUCUGACUGAAAUAAUAAUCGAUUCCGGCGAAGGAUUCGCCGAAAAAGGCUUAGAUCUAGCCUAUUGUCGCCGGAACAAUGACCCAAACGAAAAACGGUGCUCCUUUCUCGAUCUGCUGAUUUUUCUUUUUGUUUUUCCUCUCUCCCUCGAUUUUUCUUUAACUCCGAUCUCUCUUUCGUCUCCCUCCUCUAUAUCUCUCAGAGUGUUUCUGUGUAGGGGUUUUGGAGAAGAAGGUUUGUGUGUUUUGGUGAGAGUAAAAAAGGGAAUAUUUGGUUUCCUUUGGAGAAGAAAGCCAAGAAGAAAAAAUGUUUCUCCCCUCCACC